AUUGAACGCUGGCGGCAGGCCUAACACAUGCAAGUCGAGCGAGCGGCGGACGGGGGUGUAAUGUCUGGGAAACUGCCUGAUGGAGGGGGAUAACAACUGGAAACGGUAGCUAAUACCGCAUACCAUCAGAUGUGCCCAGAUGGGAUGAGAUAGUGGGGGGGGUAACGGCUCACCCAGGCGACGAUCCCUAGCUGGUCUGAGAGGGUGACCAGCCACACUGGAACUGAGACACGGUCCAGACUCCUACGGGAGGCAGCAGUGGGGAAUAUUGCACAAUGGGCGCAAGCCUGAUGCAGCCAUGCCGCGUGUGUGAAGAAGGCCUUCGGGUUGUAAAGUACUUUCAGCGGGGAGGCGUUACCCGCAGAAGAAGCACCGGCUAACUCCGUGCCAGCAGCCGCGGUAAUAC
RNAcentral lists this ribosomal RNA (406 nucleotides) under uncultured bacterium. RNAcentral describes it as "partial 16S ribosomal RNA". It matches the Rfam family "Bacterial small subunit ribosomal RNA", at positions 29 to 526 of the family's 1533-position model. The record is from RNAcentral.